Molecule: ribosomal RNA, 292 nt
Filed under: uncultured bacterium
Lineage: Bacteria
Description: partial 16S ribosomal RNA
Rfam family: Bacterial small subunit ribosomal RNA
Source: RNAcentral
GUGCCAGCAGCCGCGGUAAGACGUACCACCCGAACGUUAUUCGGAUUCACUGGGCUUACAGAGUCCGUAGGCGGUCAAGAAAGUUAGGCGUGAAAUCCCUCAGCUCAACUGAGGAAUAGCGCUUAAAACUACUUGGCUAGAGAGAGUCAGAGGUGAGCGGAACUGAUGGUGGAGCGGUGAAAUGCGUUGAUAUCAUCAGGAACACCGGUGGCGAAAGCGGCUCACUGGGGCUUUUCUGACGCUGAGGGACGAAAGCUAGGGGAGCGAACGGGAUUAGAUACCCUUGUAGUCC